GUCAAUAGACAGAUCAUGCUGAACAUGCACUAUCUUGUCUGAUCUUGGAAGCAAAGCAGGGUUGGGCCCGGUUAGUAUUUGGAUGGGAGACAGCGAAUGGAAACCACAAAAUUAUUUAAA
This 120-nucleotide ribosomal RNA is filed under the name Aotus nancymaae (Ma's night monkey). Lineage: Eukaryota; Metazoa; Chordata; Mammalia; Primates; Aotidae. The record is from RNAcentral.